RNAcentral lists this ribosomal RNA (459 nucleotides) under uncultured bacterium. Its description in RNAcentral is "partial 16S ribosomal RNA". It matches the Rfam family "Bacterial small subunit ribosomal RNA", at positions 338 to 795 of the family's 1533-position model. The record is from RNAcentral.
CCUACGGGGUGCAGCAGUGAGGAAUAUUGGACAAUGGACGAAAGUCUGAUCCAGCCAAGCCGCGUGAAUGACGAAGGUGCCAAGCAUUGUAAAUUUUUUUUGUCAAGGGACAAAAUCAGGCUCGAGAGCCUUACCGAGGGUACUUGAAGAAAAAGCAUCGUCUAACUCCAUGCCAUCAGCCGCGGUAAUACGGGGGAUGCGAUUGUUAUCCGGAUUUAUUGUGUUUAACGGGUGCGUCGGGGGAGUGUUAAGUCAGCGGUAAAAGCCCGGGGCUAACCCCGGGCGAGCCGUUGAGACUGGCUGUCUGGAGAUGUCGAGAGGUAGGCGGAAUGCGCAGUGUAGCGGUGAAAUGCUUAGAUAUUGCGCAGAACUCCGAUUGCGAAGGCAGCAUACCGGCGGCGAUCUGACGCUGAGGCACGAAAGCGUGGGUAUCGAACAGGAUUAGAUACCCUUGUAGUC